UACAGAGGGUGCAAGCGUUGUUCGGAAUUAUUGGGCGUAAAGCGCGUGUAGGCGGCUUGGCAAGUCAGAUGUGAAAGCCCUCGGCUUAACCGAGGAAGUGCGUCUGAAACUGCUGAGCUUGAGUGUCGGAGAGGAUGGCGGAAUUCCGCAAGUAGAGGUGAAAUGCGCAGAUAUCAGGAGGAACACCAGCGGCGAAGGCGGCGCUCUGGGCUGGAACUGACGCUGAGGAGCGAAAGCUAGGGGAGCAAACAGG
RNAcentral lists this ribosomal RNA (253 nucleotides) under uncultured bacterium. RNAcentral's name for it is "partial 16S ribosomal RNA". It matches the Rfam family "Bacterial small subunit ribosomal RNA", at positions 524 to 776 of the family's 1533-position model. The record is from RNAcentral.